This 1594-nucleotide ribosomal RNA is filed under the name seawater metagenome. RNAcentral describes it as "bacterial LSU rRNA". It matches the Rfam family "Bacterial large subunit ribosomal RNA", at positions 1254 to 2925 of the family's 2925-position model. The record is from RNAcentral.
GUCCGUCUCGUGGGCUCGGAGAUGUGUAUAAGAGACAGAUGUCAGAUUGAGUAACGUAAACAUUGGUGAGAAUCCAAUGCCCCGAAAACUCAAGGGUUCCUGCGCAAGGCUCGUCCGCGCAGGGUCAGUCAGGACCUAAGGUGAGGCCGAAAGGCGUAAUUGAUGGCAAGAAGGUUUAUAUUCCUUCACUAGUCUAGGCUUAGUCCUGAGGGACGAACAAAUAACACUCGGCACAAUGGCCUUCCAUGGUAGGAAGGGUUAAACCAUUGUUGUUUGAUGAUAUUUUUUCCAAGAAAAGCUCAUUCGACUUUGAGUCUAGAUUACCUGUACCGUAAACCGACACAGGUGAGUGGGUUGAAUAAACUAAGGGGAGCGAGAUAACUCUCUCUAAGGAACUCGGCAAAUUGGCUCUGUACCUUCGGAAGAAAGAGUGCCCCUCAGGGGGCCGCAGUGAAGAGAUCCAGGCGACUGUUUACCAAAAACACAGGUCUCCGCAAAGUCGCAAGACGAAGUAUGGGGGCUGACACCUGCCCAGUGCCAGAAGGUUAAAGAAGUUGGUCAAUCUUUGAUGAAGCUAACGACUGAAGCCCUGGUGAACGGCGGCAGUAACUAUAACUGUCCUAAGGUAGCGAAAUUCCUUGUCGGGUAAGUUCCGACCCGCACGAAAGGUGUAACGAUCUGCGUACUGUCUCGGAGAGAGACUCGGCGAAAUAGACUUGUCUGUGAAGAUGCGGACUACCUGCACCUGGACAAAAAGACCCUAUGAAGCUUUACUGUAGCUUGAAAUUGGCUCCGGGCUUUAUUUGCGCAGGAUAGGUGGGAGGCGUUGAAGAUCUUCUUGCGGGGAGAUUGGAGCCAUUGGUGAGAUACCACUCUAAUAAAGCUAGGAUUCUAACCCUAUACCGUUAUCCGGUUAGGGAACAGUUUCAGGUGGUCAGUUUGACUGGGGCGGUCGCCUCCCAAAAGGUAACGGAGGCGUGCAAAGGUUUCCUCAGACUGGUCGGAAAUCAGUCGUAGAGUGUAAAGGCAUAAGGAAGCUUGAUUGUGAGACCUACAAGUCGAACAAAGACGAAAGUCGGCCUUAGUGAUCCGGCGGUACCAAGUGGAAGGGCCGUCGCUCAACGGAUAAAAGUUACUCUAGGGAUAACAGGCUGAUCUCCCCCAAGAGUUCACAUCGACGGGGAGGUUUGGCACCUCGAUGUCGGCUCAUCGCAUCCUGGGGCGGUAGUACGUCCCAAGGGUUGGGCUGUUCGCCCAUGAAAGCGGUACGCGAGCUGGGUUCAGAACGUCGUGAGACAGUUCGGUCCAUAUCCGGUGUGGGCGUUAGAGUAUUGAGAGGAUUCUUCUUUAGUACGAGAGGACCGAGAAGGACAAACCGCUGGUGUGCCAGUUAUUGUGCCAACAGUAAACGCUGGGUAGCUAAGUUUGGAAAGGAUAACCGCUGAAAGCAUCUAAGUGGGAAGCCCCCCUCAAGAUGAGUACUCUCAUCCUUUUGGAGUAAGGUCACGGCAAGACUAGCCGUUUGAUAGGCAUCAGGUCGAAGUUUAGCAAUAAAUGUAGCUGAGAUGUCCUAAUAGACCGAGGACUUGAAUUA